Molecule: ribosomal RNA, 690 nt
Filed under: Triticum aestivum (bread wheat)
Lineage: Eukaryota; Viridiplantae; Streptophyta; Magnoliopsida; Poales; Poaceae
Description: partial small subunit ribosomal RNA
Source: RNAcentral
AUGGUGCACCUACGGCAGUCUCCCUCGCCGCCUGACACCGCAACAAAGUCGGCGGCGAGUGCGGUGGACGGAAGCAGUGGGGUGGACCUCACUUGUGUGGGCUGCACACUGGGGCUAGACCCCACCAGCGUCCGCCUCAACGGCUACUUCGUCAUUCGCGACCCAGGGCACGUCUCCACAACGCUCACCUGGGGUGCGCUCCUUGCCAUUUUGCCGCCUACAGGCUACCCACCACAAGCGUUGACCCCGCCACGCCCGUCAACGUCUGUGGUAGGCUCACGCCUUCGCCACCACGCUCAGUUUGAUUAUAUCCAAUUCACAAACUGUUUGGAUAUUGGUACUUUAAAUCUUCAAAACCCCACCCACGCCACCCGUCUCGCAUCCCCGGCGAGCGCAGCUCAAAGAUCGCCGACCUCCCUCGUCGUGCUGACUAUCUCCGCCACCAUCCUACUCCUCCUCAAACUCUGUGACGUCUACAACUGCAUCAGUGUAGCCCCCAUCGCCAUCCCCGUUCCCCGCCGGACCCUGCCCCGUCACCAUUCGUCCCACUGCGCUGGUGCACCAUUUUGGCUCGGCAAAGAGGCUGCACGCGUAUCCCAACUGUCGCCCCCCGGUGACACAAAAUGCAUCUCCAUGUUGGCUGCAAUCUUAGUUUGUUUCCAUUUCCAGUGUUCUAUGACUCCACUUUGA